Molecule: long non-coding RNA, 1173 nt
Filed under: Lathyrus oleraceus (garden pea)
Lineage: Eukaryota; Viridiplantae; Streptophyta; Magnoliopsida; Fabales; Fabaceae
Description: Pisum sativum (pea) long non-coding RNA (PSAT_LNC000344)
Source: RNAcentral
UUUUAAGUUAUGAGAAUUUAUUUUAUUCUUCUCUUUUAUGUUUUUUGCUGCCAAUCGUUAACAAUAAGUUUUAUUUCAAUGAUUUAUCAUGUAUUCCUAACUAUUAUUCUUUUGUUUUUCAAAUUCUCCUUAUCUAUAACAAAAGAAUAUAAGGGGAAUAAAAUAAUGAAACUUUAGUAGUAAUAAAAACUUCAAUAACUUUUAUGAUUUUUAAGUCAUGUAUUUACUAUGGGUUAAAAGAUCAAUUAGGUUAAUUGAAGAGACAAAUUCAACACAUUAAUACAACUAAAAGACAUUUAUUUUUUAUUUAUUUUUUAAAUGGUCCCUCGCAACCUCAUAAUUACUAAAGCAGUAUUUUACUGAAGAUAAUAAACACAUCGAAUCAUCUAAGAAAUAUGUCAAUAUAAUGUUAAAAUACAUUUAGUUUUUAUUUAUUUUUUAAAUGGUCCCUCGCAACCUCAUAAUUGCUAAAACACUAUUUUACUGAAGAUAAUAAACACAUCGAAUCAUCUAAGAAAUAUUUCAAUAUAGUUUUUUUCAACAUAAUUAAAAGUUGAAGAAUGUAAAUUUUCACAUUAUAAAGUGAUGAAACAACUUGGUAUUUUUCUUGCCAACAAGAAAAAAUAUGUCUAAGGUUAUUAAGUUUGUUUAUGUUAUGAUUACUUUACUUUUCUUAUUCAUCAAAAGUUCUUGUAACAUUGGUAAGCCCGCUUCGUUAGUUUUUACCCUUCAAAUUCUUUUUCUAUUCUAUACACAAUAUUUCAUUCUUAUUAUUGAUAUUUAUUUUUUAUUUUUUAUUUUUUUAAUAUCAUAGGAUUGGAUUUAUGCAGUACUGAUAAAGAUUGUCGUGCUACUAUUUGUUGGUUUACUAAAACUGCAAAGUGCAUAAAACACAUUUGUGAUUGUGUAUAAUAUUUAUUAUACAAAAAUCUUUCUAAUAAAUUAAUGGUUUAAAUGCAUUUUUAUGUUUCUUCUUUACAAACCUUCUUGCAAACAAGUAUUUCUCUUAAUAAAUAGCUAGUUAAAAACCUUGCAAACAAAGCAUUACCCAUUUUUUAUUUAUUUAUUCUCAUAAUGUAAUAUAAAAUUUCAAUAAUUUUUGUAUUUGAAUGAAAUAUAGAAGAUAUUACAAACUUUAAAAACAUAUUAUUUCAACGGCUUUAACAUACAAAU